AAAACAAAGAGAACGUUACCUGCGCUCUGGCCGAUUUAGGCCAGAGCGCAGGUAACGUUCUCUUUGUUUUU
Non-coding RNA from Pelobates cultripes (western spadefoot toad), 71 nucleotides. The record is from the annotation of a GenBank genome assembly. Lineage: Eukaryota; Metazoa; Chordata; Amphibia; Anura; Pelobatidae.